Molecule: ribosomal RNA, 493 nt
Filed under: uncultured Glomus
Lineage: Eukaryota; Fungi; Glomeromycota; Glomeromycetes; Glomerales; Glomeraceae
Description: SSU rRNA
Rfam family: Eukaryotic small subunit ribosomal RNA
Source: RNAcentral
CCGCGGUAAUUCCAGCUCCAAUAGCGUAUAUUAAAGUUGUUGCAGUUAAAAAGCUCGUAGUUGAAUUUCGGGGUUAGUAGGUUGGUCAUGCCUCUGGUAUGUACUGGUCUCACUGAUUCCUCCUUCCUGAUGAGCCGUAAUGCCAUUAAUUUGGUGUUGCGGGGAAUUUGGACUGUUACUUUGAAAAAAUUAGAGUGUUUAAAGCAAGCUAACGCUUGAAUACAUUAGCAUGGAAUAAUGAAAUAGGACGUUCGAUCCUAUUUUGUUGGUUUCUAGGAUUGACGUAAUGAUUAAUAGGGAUAGUUGGGGGCAUUAGUAUUCAAUUGUCAGAGGUGAAAUUCUUGGAUUUAUUGAAGACUAACUACUGCGAAAGCAUUUGCCAAGGAUGUUUUCAUUAAUCAAGAACGAAAGUUAGGGGAUCGAAGACGAUCAGAUACCGUCGUAGUCUUAACCAUAAACUAUGCCGACUAGGGAUCGGAUGAUGUUAAUUUUU